Molecule: long non-coding RNA, 3943 nt
Organism: Canis lupus familiaris (dog)
Lineage: Eukaryota; Metazoa; Chordata; Mammalia; Carnivora; Canidae
Exons: 3
Source: RefSeq, a predicted model, not a curated record
CCUGGCGGGCAGGGAGAGACAGGAGCAGAGUGGUGACUGGCGGCCCUGAGCAAGGCCGCACCACAGGUGCCAGCGGCUGCCAGACCCCAACGACACCCGGGACCGGUGGCAGAAGGCAACCCCGGGUCGUGUGCCGGCUGCUCCCGACCACAUGGGUUAUCGGUCAUCCGCUGCAGAGCCGGGGCUGUGACGUUGCCUGGGGCCUUGUCUUGGGCACAGGAAGGCAGUGGUGGCAGUCUCCCCCCGGCACUGGCUUCGUGGGAAUCUCAAACUGCCUGUUUUCUAAAGACAAGCCCUGCCCACUGGCACCCCGGCCCAGGAACGCCGAGGGGAGUGCUGGGGCCUGGGAAGACGUUCAACUCGUAACUCGUUUGUAUUAUUUGAUUUACACCUAAAAUAUAUUUGGAAGGCAGCAGAAACGCUCACACUGAACAGGCUGCCAACCCAAAUGUUAAGCAUGAAAAAAUUGCCUGGCAUCAUUAUAUUAUCCAUUUAUCAGUUUGUCACAAGAAUUUGACACAUCUUGUCACUGAAAGUUAGAAAUAACAACUCCCCUCCUUGACGCUUGGGAAGAGGGGGAUAUAUCGCUGCAGAUGCUAAAUUCACACGACGACCAACCGGGCGCACAGAUCCCUGAUAUAAAACUGCUGACGUCUGCCCGGCAACCACCCCAUAAAAAUUUCAUUAGCAUGGAAACAAAUACAUAGCUAUCUGCUCAAGGACUGUUAAGAAAAUGAAGUUCGACGACAGCCAACUCUAUCUGGUAUUCUCUAAACUUUGGCCAAGGGAUCCGUCUGGUGUUUUAUUUUACACCGAAAAGGUGAAAAAAUUUCAAUGAUAACCACCUGAAAAACACGGCAUGAUGCAAUAUUUUAAGAUGCUGCCACCUAAAAUGUAGGAGAGGAUCAAUUGGGUUCUUUCGGGAUUAGAUAUAAUUAGAUGAGGGAUUAGGACAUUAAUUAUAUAUACAUUAACAUUGGCUUUAAGCUAGUGUUGCAACCAGCAUGAUUAAGUGUCACCAAUAAAAGUAACUCUGGUCUCAAUGAGUGGUGCUCAUAAUUGGCACUGACAUCUAAUGAAUUCUACUCUUCUGAAUGCCAACCUUUCAUGGGAAUGAGUUAUUCUGUUCUUACUGAGUAGUUAAUAACAACUUACUAACAACUAACUGAGAACAAAGAUUACCGACUUUGGAAACUACAAGUUAAUCCCACUGGCAUCCAAGUGCUCAGACGCUGUCCUUCCUCUUAAGACAUGAGGCGCAGGGGACACCCAGACCUAUCCACACACACUCAUGCUGCUAUACCUGGAUUUGGUUUGACAAAGGGACUUGUUGUUGAACUUCUUCCAUUUGUACCGGCUUCUAGUUCUGGGCGUCGUGUUGGAUCAUUAUGCCUGGCUGACCCAGCGGAACUUGCAUCUAUAUGAGAAAGAAUAGAUUACUUACAGCCCAGGGACAUCUAAUGAGAUCUAGCUCUAAGAGCUGCUGGAUAUAGAUAUCAAGAGGCAUAAAUAGCAAUGAACGUAAGAUUCUUUAUGCAAAGUACUGUGACAUACAAGAAUAUAAUUUUCCUUUUAAAACAAAACGGUUAUACUAGUUAUUUCAGAGGUUUAGAUUGUGAGGCCAUCUGUGCAAACUAUAGGGAUUCUUGCAUUUGGCAGGCAGAGCAUUGCAGAUGACAUUUCAAUUUAAACGAGCAAGUUGAUUGACUACUAUACCAAUUUCUAAUUAGAAGAAUAAUUCUGCACAAUAGGUUAUCUGUAUGUGAAAAGGCUCUGUGGACUAAAGUCUUCUGUAGUCAAGACGCAAAAAUGGGCAAAAUGGCAGAAACUUAGCUUUCAUUCUGGAUAUCUUAAUUGUUGAACCAAAGAGAUGUUUCACUUUUAAGAAGAAAAAAAGUGUAUAUAUACAGAUAUACAUAUAAGCAAUGGACAUCGUACCUAGCUGACCUUAGUUUUUAGAGGAAUCUCCAAUAAAAGAAGUUUGUUACACUGACUUGAGGCAAUCUGUCAGUGGCUCAAGGUACAGAGAGAGGUCUGCUUUCAAAACUAAGCUACGAGUGAGUGAAGGCAGGCAUUAACAGCAUUGGUGCCACACUCGCUGGGGGCUGAACCAGAUUACAGUGGCUUCAUGAAGCAGCAGAUGGUCUUUACCUUGUCCAACUUUCAUGAGGAUCUUCAUGGCUCUUGUCUGGCACACCCCUCCCUCCUGGUUAUCCAGGCCCUCCAAAGACCCAUUUGAUGUAGCUGAUUAAAAAUAAAAUGGACAAAACAAAAAAAUAAAGAAAAAUCAGGAAAUCAAUAAGCCAAGUUUACAUGAACAUGAAAUGUCUGAAAACAAUUUGAAAAAUAAGAAUUCACUCUUAGUCACAAGUUUUCUGAAAGUAUGGAAUGCUGAAAGCCAAACAUAAAAAAAAAAUAAAAGAAAGAAAAAUGGGUAUUGUCAACACUGCUGCACAUAUGCUAUCUGGUUUCAAGUUCACUUCAGUGCUUUCUCCUUCCUUCAGAACCCACUGAUUUAGUAUUAGUCCAUACAUAAAAGGGACAGCAUCUUCCAAAAAGCUUACUAUUUCAGAGUCCAAGAGCAAAACAGUUAACACAGUCACUUUAAAAUGUAAUAAUCAUCCCACAACACCUGUUUCCUCGACUACAGAUUUCCUGCUUCAAGAACAAUUAGCUCGAUGCUCCCUGAUUGCCAAGCAUCCAAGUUCGGUAAACACUAAAAGAGGAGACUCCCCUACUUCCCCCUUCCUUCUUUCCCCAGCCCAUCUCGAGAUGAAGAAGUAUGCUAGUAUUCAGGUCUUCAAAUUCUGAAGUUUUCCUCCAUUCUUCUGUACUCGACCAGAAAUAGCGAGUGUGUUCUUAUUACCAAGAUGGACCUUGGUCAAUCUCUCAAGCAGGCCAUCCGUUGCAGAACAACGUGGUGGACCCAGGGGACUGCACACAUCCUCUGCUCCGUCAGGGCCUGGUGACAACCUGGGGACAGUGCAUCCUCUGAAUGGUAACUAAAGCUGUAAAAAGACAGGCUGAGGAAGAGGAUUUAAGUUAUGGGUCAAGUUCCAGAAGAGAAAAGAAGGUGGAGAGUGCUACACAUUUUCAUUCCUCCAAAGUUCAAGGGGCAAGGAACAGAAGUGUUUCAUAUACAUUUCUGCAGUGGCCAGUCUUCCUACACAUCUCUCUUCUUAAGCUCAACACAGACUCAGAAGAACCAGAAGCUUACUAUCUGACAAACAGAGGAACUAAAGGAAGCAGAAUCAAGUGAAAAACAUGGAAAGUGAAGCCAUGACAUUCAAAUAAAUACGGCACACAAACCAGGUUACUGCUUUCUACCAGGGCUAGCAACUCUCUGAGUGUCUAAAGAAAAAAGGAAAAAAAGGUGGAAUGAGAUCUGUAAGCUGGAAAACAAGGAGCCUGAUAAAAAUAUCAUCAGUUACUGUGAACAUACAAUCCAGGAAACUACCAUCUAUCUACUUAACACCAUGACAUCAAUUCAGAUUCACAAUGGGUACCUUGGAAAUAGGGAUCUAAUCUCUAGAUCUCAAUGUAGAUUUUAAUGCCUCAAGUCUGACGAGCAUCCUUUCAGAUACUGAGGAGAAAGAUUCCAAACAUGGAGAUGAUAAUGUUCACUGAACGCCAAAAAUGAUUGCCUUUUUUCUGUAAUUAAUAAAACUUCUGAAACAGAAACAGUUGUAUAAUGUGCCAGAAGGAGGAAGAAAAAUUCACUUCUUCUAACUUCUUUUUAUGUAUUUUUCUUUAGGAUUUAUAGUGUAAGAGAUGAGGAAUGUGUCAUUGUGAGUUUCCAAGGGCCUUGUUAUUUUCGUUUGGCAGAAUGUUCAAAAAAAUUCAGCAUUAUUUCAAAGCACGUGGCAUCUCAUCCCAUAAUACCAAAUUUGCCUUAUCUUUGCUAUAUAAACACUUCUUAAAAUGGCCUCCAUUUGAAAAAGGA